RNAcentral lists this small RNA (27 nucleotides) under Bombyx mori (domestic silkworm). Its description in RNAcentral is "ovarian small RNA-16814". The record is from RNAcentral. Lineage: Eukaryota; Metazoa; Arthropoda; Insecta; Lepidoptera; Bombycidae.
GCGACGUCGACGGUUUACCAUUCGGUC